CACGGAGUUAGCCGAUGCUUUUUCUCCAGGUACUCUCCUUCCGUCCACACGUGGACGGCAUUGCUCCCUGGCAAAAGAGGUUUACGACCCGUAGGGCCUUAUUCCCUCACGCGACUUGGCUGGUUCAGCCUUCCGGCCAUUGACCAAUAUUCCUCACUGCUGCCUCCCGUAGGAGUUUGGACCGUGUCUCAGUUCCAAUGUGGGGGACCUUCCUCUCAGAACCCCUACGCAUCGUCGGCUUGGUGGGCCGUUGCCCCACCAACUACCUAAUGCGCCGCAUGCCCAUCCGUGACCGGGGUCGCCCCCUUUGGCCGGCAGGGGAUCGUCCCCUCCCGGCAUUACUGUUGUAUUAGGCGGGUAUUUCUUCCGGUUAUCCAUCUGUCACGGCCAGGUUGCAUACGUGUUACUCACCCGUGCGCCGGUCGCCGGCGCAGAAGCAAGCUCCUACCCCGCUCGCCCCUCGACUUGCAUGUGUAGCCUGUCGCUAGCGUUCAUCCUGACGCCAGGACUACAAACUCUA
Molecule: ribosomal RNA, 520 nt
Filed under: uncultured Porphyromonadaceae bacterium
Lineage: Bacteria; Pseudomonadati; Bacteroidota; Bacteroidia; Bacteroidales; Porphyromonadaceae
Description: partial 16S ribosomal RNA
Source: RNAcentral